Molecule: ribosomal RNA, 407 nt
Filed under: uncultured bacterium
Lineage: Bacteria
Description: bacterial SSU rRNA
Rfam family: Bacterial small subunit ribosomal RNA
Source: RNAcentral
UGGGGAAUAUUGGGCAAUGGGCGGAAGCCUGACCCAGCAACGCCGCGUGAAGGAAGAAGGCUCUCGGGUUGUAAACUUCUUUUAAGAGGGACGAAACAAAUGACGGUACCUCUUGAAUAAGCCACGGCUAACUACGUGCUAGCAGCCGCGGUAAUACGUAGGUGGCAAGCGUUAUCCGGAUUUACUGGGUGUAAAGGGCGUGUAGGCGGGAUGGUAAGUCAGAUGUGAAAACUAUGGGCUCAACCCAUAGCCUGCAUUUGAAACUAUCGUUCUUGAGUGUUGGAGAGGCAGGCGGAAUUCCGUGUGUAGCGGUGAAAUGCGUAGAUAUACGGAGGAACACCAGUGGCGAAGGCGGCCUGCUGGACAAUAACUGACGCUGAGGCGCGAAAGCGUGGGGAGCAAACAGG